GUGCUCACUUCGGCAGCACAUAUACUAAAAUUGGAACGAUACUGAGGAGAUUAGUGUGACCCCUGGCUAAGUAUCACACACAAAUUUGUGAAGCGUUCCAUAUUUUU
Molecule: small nuclear RNA, 107 nt
Organism: Loxodonta africana (African savanna elephant)
Lineage: Eukaryota; Metazoa; Chordata; Mammalia; Proboscidea; Elephantidae
Source: Ensembl